Molecule: ribosomal RNA, 497 nt
Filed under: uncultured bacterium
Lineage: Bacteria
Description: partial 16S ribosomal RNA
Rfam family: Bacterial small subunit ribosomal RNA
Source: RNAcentral
GAUGAACGCUGGCGGCGUGCCUAAUACAUGCAAGUCGAGCGAACAGACGAGGAGCUUGCUCCUCUGACGUUAGCGGCGGACGGGUGAGUAACACGUGGAUAACCUACCUAUAAGACUGGGAUAACUUCGGGAAACCGGAGCUAAUACCGGAUAAUAUAUUGAACCGCAUGGUUCAAUAGUGAAAGACGGUUUUGCUGUCACUUAUAGAUGGAUCCGCGCCGCAUUAGCUAGUUGGUAAGGUAACGGCUUACCAAGGCAACGAUGCGUAGCCGACCUGAGAGGGUGAUCGGCCACACUGGAACUGAGACACGGUCCAGACUCCUACGGGAGGCAGCAGUAGGGAAUCUUCCGCAAUGGGCGAAAGCCUGAUGGAGCCACGCCGCGUGAGUGAUGAAGGUCUUCGGAUCGUAAAACUCUGUUAUUAGGGAAGAACAAAUGUGUAAGUAACUAUGCACGUCUUGACGGUACCUAAUCAGAAAGCCACGGCUAACUACGUG